UCUAAUGCGAUUAAUCAGGAGAUUUUUACUAUUUCCUUAAAAGAACUAAAGUUGGGAUUGGUAAAUUUAGUCACGAAAACCAAGAAUAGGAAAAUGGACUAGUAAUUAGAGAUGUUCUAUAGUUGGCUUGAGAUAUAUAUGCAGUUGUGGACAACUUAUUGCAUGCUCUAGAAAACUAGCAAAUUAAGUUGAGGGAAUAGAUUAAUCUAAUAGUACAGAAUACAUCAUCUUAUAAUCUAAAAGUAAAUAUUAAAAUGCGAUAAAUUAUAGAGUAUCCCACUAAUUUUAUAUAUGAGUAUAUAAUAUGACAAAUUAAUUAUAACAUGAAAUCUAAAUAACAAAAAUAAAAAUUAUUUUGAACACAUAAAUAAACUAAAUUUAUGUGUAUAAUUUACAUUGGUUUAACAUAUCCUCUAGGUAAUCCUAGUAUAACAAAUAUAUUGCAUGACUAUCUCCAAAACCACACUAUCAUUAAGAUAAUCAUGACUUAUAUAAUAAUUUAAAAUUUGAUUUUAAUAUAAUAAUAAUAAUUAUUAGUUAUAUGUAUCACCUCAAUUUAAUGAAGUGUUAAGUGUUAUAUAAGCUGCCUAGUUGAUAUGUAAUGUUGUUGGAAUAGAGAGAAAAACGUUAGCUUGCUAAAAGGACAACGAGGAAAGGUGGACAAACUAGUAAUUGUCAUGCAACUAUAUAAAAGUUAGUCAUACAUAUAUGCAACCGAAAAAAGUCAUAAAAGAUAUCCAACCAACACAAACUAGAAGUCCCUAUCUAACCAUAAGAAGAAACAGAAAAAAAAAAAAAAGAAAAGAAAAGAAAAGAAAAGAAAAAGAACUAGGACCCGCAAAUACAUAGGUGGAAAUGCUAAUCUCGUAUGAGAUAGUAAAGUUUUUUGACAGAUUAUAAUUUCUUAUAUAUAUAUAUAUAUAUUCAAUUUUUUUCAAAAAAAAAAAAUUUGUUCUUGUAAUUUAAGGCAUAAAUGUAAUAAAAUCCAUAAAAAUAAAUAACGAAAAUGCUCAUCUAAUUACACUUAUUUACAAUUGAUGGAGAAGGAAAAAAAAAAACCUUAUAAAAAUUUGAAUUUUUUCAGAGAUUAAGUAAAACAAAAUAAAUACAUAUGUAUAGCUAGGCCUGUUUUGAAAUAGAAUUACAACUUCAAUUGUUUUCUGCUGGUCUUGUCAGUUGUCAGGUAAAUUUAAGUGGAAAGGAAUAUCAAUCGGGCUAUAUACAUACGCAGUUGUAGCCAAUAGGGCUCUCCCAGUACAGCGCAUUGGCUUGUUUUUCUUGAAUAUGCAUAUGGUUACACACAAUGCAGCCCUAUUAGGCCUUCAACUUUCACACGAACAUUUAACUAAUUGAAGAAAAAAAAUAAUAAAUUAAAUAAACCUGAUGAAGUUAAUAUUAUUCAAUAAGUUUAGUUUUUACCCAUCUAACAAAUUAUCAAACAAAGUUGAUCUUACCUUCAUGUUAAGGUAUAGAACAUAAGAGAACUGCUAGCUCCUUCAAAUAUCUUCCUUUAAUAAAAUGUAGUUUGAUUUUCUUCUUCUUCACAUGGAGUCAUGCUUUCAUUCUAAGCAAACAUUUUCGUGUAAUUAAGGGUAUAUCUAAAGAAAAAUAACAAAUAGUUGAUAACAGAAACCAUAGUGAGAUUAUAUAU
This 1651-nucleotide long non-coding RNA is filed under the name Manihot esculenta (cassava). Its description in RNAcentral is "long non-coding RNA (MESC_LNC010486)". The record is from RNAcentral. Lineage: Eukaryota; Viridiplantae; Streptophyta; Magnoliopsida; Malpighiales; Euphorbiaceae.